Molecule: ribosomal RNA, 393 nt
Filed under: Salmonella enterica subsp. enterica serovar Kentucky
Lineage: Bacteria; Pseudomonadati; Pseudomonadota; Gammaproteobacteria; Enterobacterales; Enterobacteriaceae
Description: bacterial SSU rRNA
Rfam family: Bacterial small subunit ribosomal RNA
Source: RNAcentral
UAGACCGCCUGGGGAGUACGGCCGCAAGGUUAAAACUCAAAUGAAUUGACGGGGGCCCGCACAAGCGGUGGAGCAUGUGGUUUAAUUCGAUGCAACGCGAAGAACCUUACCUGGUCUUGACAUCCACAGAAGUUUCCAGAGAUGGAUUUGUGCCUUCGGGAACCGUGAGACAGGUGCUGCAUGGCUGUCGUCAGCUCGUGUUGUGAAAUGUUGGGUUAAGUCCCGCAACGAGCGCAACCCUUAUCCUUUGUUGCCAGCGAUUAGGUCGGGAACUCAAAGGAGACUGCCAGUGAUAAACUGGAGGAAGGUGGGGAUGACGUCAAGUCAUCAUGGCCCUUACGACCAGGGCUACACACGUGCUACAAUGGCGCAUACAAAGAGAAGCGACCUCGC